CCCUUAGAUGUCCUGGGCCGCACGCGUGCUACACUGAUGCAUACAGCGAGUACUUUCCAGCUCCGCGAGGCAGCUGGUAAUCAGCAAUAUGCAUCGUGCUGGGGAUAGAUCUUUGGAAUUAUAGAUCUUGAACGAGGAAUUCCUAGUAAGCGCAAGUCAUUAGCUUGCGCUGAUUAAGUCCCUGCCCUUUGUACACACCGCCCGUCGCUCCUACCGAUUUCGAGUGAUUCGGUGAACCUUUUGGACAGCGUCUGUCCUCGUGUCAGAUGCUGAAAGUCAAGUAAGCCAUAUCACUUAGAGGAAGGAGAAGUCGUAACA
RNAcentral lists this ribosomal RNA (318 nucleotides) under uncultured eukaryote. RNAcentral's name for it is "partial 18S ribosomal RNA". It matches the Rfam family "Eukaryotic small subunit ribosomal RNA", at positions 1470 to 1796 of the family's 1831-position model. The record is from RNAcentral.